AUUAUUAAUAUUUAAACUUAUAAAAAUUUUGAUAUAUCAUAAUUUUUUAACAUCAGUUUAAAAAAAUCUUAAUUUUUGCCGUCAUAUUUUAUGAUUCAAAAUUUUAAAAAUGAACAUAUAUUAACCAAUUGGCAAAAAAUGUGUGGGUUCAACGUCCCGCAUCGACAAAAAUAUUUAGACAAUAAUUUAUAAACAUAUCAUAAAUAAGAUCAACAUUAAUAUAAAUAAAUGGGUUUUUUACAGGACGAAUUUGACGGGACGAGUUUGGCAGGACGUUACUUAAUAACAAUUGUAAAUUAUAAAAUAAAAAUAUAUUAUAGAUAUACAAUUUGCAAAAAAA
Molecule: small RNA, 340 nt
Filed under: Arabidopsis thaliana (thale cress)
Lineage: Eukaryota; Viridiplantae; Streptophyta; Magnoliopsida; Brassicales; Brassicaceae
Description: ATSL215690
Source: RNAcentral